AGUGAACGCUGGCGGCGUGCUUAACACAUGCAAGUCGAACGAGAACGGAUUAUAGCUUGCUAUAAUUGUCAGCUAAGUGGCGCACGGGUGAGUAAUGUAUAGGUAAUAUGCCUCUUACUAAGGGAUAACAAAUGGAAACGUUUGCUAAUACCUUAUACUCCUUAUUAACAGAAGUUAAUAAGGGAAAGAUUUAUUGGUAAGAGAUUAGCCUGUAUUGUAUCAGUUAGUUGGGGGGGUAACGGCUUACCAAGACUAUGACACAUAACUGGUUUGAGAGGAUGAUCAGUCACACUGGAACUGAGACACGGUCCAGACUCCUACGGGAGGCAGCAGUGGGGAAUAUUGCACAAUGGACGAAAGUCUGAUGCAGCAACGCCGCGUGGAGGAUGACACAUUUCGGUGCGUAAACUCCUUUUAUAUGAGAAGAUAAUGACGGUAUUAUAUGAAUAAGCACCGGCUAACUCCGUGCCAGCAGCCGCAGUAA
RNAcentral lists this ribosomal RNA (484 nucleotides) under uncultured bacterium. Its description in RNAcentral is "partial 16S ribosomal RNA". It matches the Rfam family "Bacterial small subunit ribosomal RNA", at positions 29 to 523 of the family's 1533-position model. The record is from RNAcentral.